GCUAGCUCAGUAGAUAGAGCAUGAGACUCUUAAUCUCAGGUUCGUGAGUUCAUGCCCCACGCA
RNAcentral lists this transfer RNA (63 nucleotides) under Cricetulus griseus (Chinese hamster). It matches the Rfam family "tRNA". Rfam says of the family: Transfer RNA (tRNA) molecules are approximately 80 nucleotides in length. Their secondary structure includes four short double-helical elements and three loops (D, anti-codon, and T loops). Lineage: Eukaryota; Metazoa; Chordata; Mammalia; Rodentia; Cricetidae. The record is from Rfam by way of RNAcentral.